RNAcentral lists this long non-coding RNA (975 nucleotides) under Salmo trutta (river trout). RNAcentral's name for it is "lncRNA (ENSSTUG00000003223.1)". The record is from RNAcentral. Lineage: Eukaryota; Metazoa; Chordata; Actinopteri; Salmoniformes; Salmonidae.
AAGGCCUGCACCGCUUGUAUUUUCAUGCGUGCCAAGGGUGCAAAUAAAUAUAUGAUGUCAGAAACACAACAACAAUCAUUGAUAGAGAAAAAAAAAUACUGCCAUGCAUCAUUGGCUGGGUGGCCACCGAGCAGCAGGAGAGGGCACGCGCAAUAACAUGAAGAUGGAGAGUGAGAAGAAGAGAAGAAAAUACUCCACCAGCAGCAAUGACUCGGACACCACUGACAGUCAAGUGACCUCUUGGUCCAGGUCCUCCAAGAACACUGGGACCAGCAGCACCUGGGUCAGACAGGAGCACAAGAAACCGUCUGAGGUGAGUGACUGCCAACUACAUGCUAUACACAACUCUCUUGUGAGUCUCAAAUGGCACCUUACUUCCGUUAUAGUGCACUUCUUCUUUUGUCCAGGGUCAGAAAUAGUGCACUAUAUAGGGAAUAAUGGGCCCUGGUGAGUAGGGUGCCACUUGGGAUGCAGACGCUGACUAAUAAUAAAUAAUACAUGGGAUUUAAAGUGCCUUUUUAAGAAAUCCAAGGCGAUUGUACAGCAAGUGAGUAAAAAAAACAAAACAAGGAUCAAACUAUAGAAUAAAAAGAAAUUAAAGCUACACAGGGUUUUUUCUGGAUCAAAAAUAAGCUUAGGUGGUGUCCGGGGGCGUGGCAAUGGGUGUGGUCGGCCUGUAGCAUGGAUGAAUUUUAGAGGCCCUCAUCUUGGUGGUGUGGAGUGUUGCAUUUUUGAAGCAAAUUUUCUGCAGUAUCACAUUCUGCGAUGGAGCUGAGAAAAUCUAUUUCAUACAUUUGUCUAAUGCUGUGUGUUGCUCAAACAUAACUAAAUCAAUACUGAGAAAUUAAUUGUUUUCGGACUUUUUAAAUAUCCCUGGCUGUCUAGCUUUUAUUUUGGGGAUUGUUAAUACUUGGAAAUAUUAUAAUCUUUGAGAAUUAAGGGUCCAUUAUCAUUUCUACAUACUUUAUAUCUGGG